RNAcentral lists this ribosomal RNA (162 nucleotides) under Eucalyptus cuprea. RNAcentral describes it as "5.8S ribosomal RNA". It matches the Rfam family "5.8S ribosomal RNA". From Rfam's summary of the family: 5.8S ribosomal RNA (5.8S rRNA) is a component of the large subunit of the eukaryotic ribosome. It is transcribed by RNA polymerase I as part of the 45S precursor that also contains 18S and 28S rRNA. Lineage: Eukaryota; Viridiplantae; Streptophyta; Magnoliopsida; Myrtales; Myrtaceae. The record is from RNAcentral.
AUAACGACUCUCGGCAACGGAAAUCUCGGCUCUCGCAUCGAUGAAGAACGUAGCGAACUGCGAUACUUGGUGUGAAUUGCAGAAUCCCGUGAACCAUCGAGUCUUUGAACGCAAGUUGCGCCCGAAACCUUUGGUCGAGGGCACGUUUGCCUGGGUGUCACA